This 252-nucleotide ribosomal RNA is filed under the name uncultured bacterium. RNAcentral's name for it is "partial 16S ribosomal RNA". It matches the Rfam family "Bacterial small subunit ribosomal RNA", at positions 524 to 776 of the family's 1533-position model. The record is from RNAcentral.
UACGUAGGUCCCGAGCGUUGUCCGGAUUUAUUGGGCGUAAAGCGAGCGCAGGUGGUUUAUUAAGUCUGGUGUAAGAGGCAGUGGCUCAACCAUUGUAUGCAUUGGAAACUGGUAGACAUGAGUGCAGGAGAGGAGAGUGGAAUUCCAUGUGUAGCGGUGAAAUGCGUAGAUAUAUGGAGGAACACCGGUGGCGAAAGCGGCUCUCUGGCCUGUAACUGACACUGAGGCUCGAAAGCGUGGGGAGCAAACAGG